GCAGUUCAUUUUAUAUUUAAUUAUUUACCAUUUUUAAAAUGAAGUUGUUAUCCAUGUACUUUUAAAUUACGAAUAUUAUAAAUAAAUAUUUUACUCUAAAAGUAAAAUAUAAUAUAAAUAUAUAAUUAGUAAUAUUUCAUUUGUAUAAUGAAUAUAUAAGGUGUAUUAACGUGCAAAUUUACCUGAAAAUGUAAAAAUUUUAAUAAUAUUCAUUCCAUACCUGGAUUUUAGGGCACUUCAUGACGGUUUAUGGGAUGAAAACGGUGUGCGCUGUUUAUGCAAAAUAUUCCUUUUCGGGGUCCUCGCAAAAUUGGUCAACUCACCCAUAAAAGUAAAAGGAACUAAUCCUCGAAUAGCAUCAUGAUGACGCAAGUAAAUCGAGGGCGGCAGCGUAACACUGCCUACAAUAACAUAUUUGACCAUUUCCAACUGUUCACUGCUGACUGGAGUCAGCAAUAGCAUGGAAUUACUCAGUUUACAAAUACCCCGAACAAUUCCCCAACCAACACAAGUUUGACUAUCUUCAGUACACAAUGCGACAAUGUUAGCAUUGGCAGCUGAUGGAUCACAGACUUUGCCAUUGUAAAGCACAGUUACUACAUCCAAAGACGUUCUAGAAUCAAAUUAAUAAAAUAAAUAUGAUAAUA
Long non-coding RNA from Dalotia coriaria, 647 nucleotides. RefSeq lists it as uncharacterized. The transcript is spliced from 2 exons. The record is from RefSeq and is a predicted model, not a curated record. Lineage: Eukaryota; Metazoa; Arthropoda; Insecta; Coleoptera; Staphylinidae.